CGCGCCCCCGUCCUGUGUAGGCGCGGUGCGAUCCGCGCUCUGGGCCCCGCGUCGCCGGUUGCGCCCGUUCUCCGCAGAGCCGGUCCCCUCAGAGUCGGUCCCCUCAGACCUUUCGGACCCCUUGCCUUGGGCAGCCUCCGCCGGUACCCCAGCCCUGCCUGCCUCUCAGUCCCGCCCUGAGCGAAGCGGUCCAAAGGGGCGCGGCCCGCCCACCGCCCUUCCAACGGCGCCCGGUGGGCUCCGGGGUUCGUGAUGUGCAGUGGGGUGUGGAGUCAGUGAAGCAGAGUGUGUCCGGCUCGGUGGGACACAGUGGGGUCCGGGUCGGUGGGACACAGUGGGUCUGGGAUCAGUGGGACACAGUGGGGUCUGGGAUCAGUGGGACAAAGUGGGUCCGGGUCGGUGGGACACAGUGGGUCCGGGAUCAGUGGGACACAGUGGGUCCGGGAUCAGUGGGACACAGUGGGUCCGGGUCGGUGAGCUGGGGUGCCUGUGAUCCGCAGGUAGGAAAGGAGGGAUCUGGGAUGUGCCGGGCACGGCGGGCAGCGGGAGGCGGCACCGCUUCCCCAGCCCCUGCGGGCCGUGGCAGGUGCGGGCUUAGCAAUCACCCCAGUUAUCCGCGGCUCAAAGGAAUCCACUGGGCCAGCGUUUGCAGCAUUUUACAGAAAGAAGUUCAAGCAAAGCACCUAAAUGCCAUCUGAAGUCUAGAACAGCAUCAUCUAGCAGAAUUUCAGCAGUACCAGCUGACUGAUGCAUCAAAACUGUCAGGUAGUGGUGGACUUCUGGAGGUCUCAUAAUCUUUAAGAUUCUGAAGAUCUCAUGCUUUCAGCUCUGCAGGUUUAUUUUCCUAAACAGCAGUUGAGAUAUUUCUGUGUAGUGCUGCAUUUCAGGCCAGAGAUACGCUCUAAGUAAUUUUCUCCUCAAGUCCUCUUAAAUGCAUCUGAACAUGUCCAGGUGGAGUUUAGCUCCCUGUAAAAGGGGCAGGUUUCCUCUAAAAUUUGUAAGAACUGGCAUUUGUAUGUGAUUCUGUCACCACAAAUCCCUGAGUUCCCAUUAGGCCACCCUGCAAUGCUGGUAGAGAUUGAGUAGCUCAGAAGGGAAUUCACAAUUACCUUGCCCAGCUGGGAGCUCCUCAGGGCUGAACUAUGACAAUAAAACAGAGAAUAGCACCUCUGAAAUACUUCA
This 1182-nucleotide long non-coding RNA is filed under the name Junco hyemalis (dark-eyed junco). RNAcentral describes it as "lncRNA (ENSJHYG00000009723.1)". The record is from RNAcentral. Lineage: Eukaryota; Metazoa; Chordata; Aves; Passeriformes; Passerellidae.